UCCAGACUCCUACGGGAGGCAGCAGUGAGGAAUAUUGGUCAAUGGGCGGAAGCCUGAACCAGCCAAGUCGCGUGAGGGAAGAAGGCCCUGCGGGUCGCAGACCUCUUUGGACGGGGAGCAAGGCCGCCGACGUGUCGGCGGAAGGAGAGUACCCGUAGAACAAGCAUCGGCUAACUCCGUGCCAGCAGCCGCGGUAAUACGGAGGAUGCGAGCGUUAUCCGGAUUUACUGGGUGUAAAGGGAGCGUAGACGGCGAAGAAAGUCUGAAGUGAAAGCCCGCGGCUCAACCGCGGAAUGGCUUUGGAAACUUUUUUGCUGGAGUACCGGAGAGGUAAGCGGAAUUCCUAGUGUAGCGGUGAAAUGCGUAGAUAUUAGGAGGAACACCAGUGGCGAAGGCGGCUUACUGGACGGUAACUGACGUUGAGGCUCGAAAGCGUGGGGAGCAAACAGGAUUAGAUACCCCUGUA
Molecule: ribosomal RNA, 466 nt
Filed under: uncultured bacterium
Lineage: Bacteria
Description: bacterial SSU rRNA
Rfam family: Bacterial small subunit ribosomal RNA
Source: RNAcentral